RNAcentral lists this ribosomal RNA (809 nucleotides) under uncultured archaeon. Its description in RNAcentral is "bacterial SSU rRNA". It matches the Rfam family "Archaeal small subunit ribosomal RNA", at positions 85 to 879 of the family's 1478-position model. The record is from RNAcentral.
ACUGCUCAGUAACACGUGGCUAAUCUGCCCUUGAGACGAGAACAACCCCGGGAAACUGGGGCUAAUUCUCGAUAGGCGAAGAACUCUGGAAUGAGUCUUCACCCAAAAAGCUUCACGUUAUGCUCGUGGAGUCGCUCAAGGAUGAGGCCGCGACCGAUCAGGUUGUUGGUGAGGUAAUGGCUCACCAAGCCUUUUACCGGUGCGGGCCGUGAGAGCGGGAGCCCGGAGAUGGGCACUGAGACAAGGGCCCAGGCCCUACGGGGCGCAGCAGUCGCGAAAACUUUGCAAUACACGAAAGUGUGACAGGGCUAUCCCGAGUGCCAUCCGCUGAGGAAGGCUUUUACCCAGUCUAGAAAGCUGGGGGAAUAAGGAGAGGGCAAGUCUGGUGUCAGCCGCCGCGGUAAUACCAGCUCUCCGAGUGGUGUGGAUGUUUAUUGGGCCUAAAGCAUCCGUAGCUGGCUAAGUUAGUCCCUUGUUAAAUCCACCGAAUUAAUCGUUGGAUUGCGGGGGAUACUGCUUGGCUAGGGGACGAGAGAGGCAGACGGUAUUUCCGGGGUAGGGGUGAAAUCCUAUAAUCCCGGGAAGACCACCAGUGGCGAAGGCUGUCUGCUAGAACGCGCCCGACGGUGAGGGGUGAAAGCUGGGGGAGCGAACCGGAUUAGAUACCCGGGUAGUCCCAGCUGUAAACGAUGCAGGCUAGGUGUUUGGACGGCCACGUGCCGUUCUAGUGCCGCAGGGAAGCUGUUAAGCCUGCCGCCUGGGGAGUACGAUCGCAAGAUUGAAACUUAAAGGAAUUGGCGGGGGAGCAC